RNAcentral lists this long non-coding RNA (1402 nucleotides) under Mustela putorius furo (domestic ferret). Its description in RNAcentral is "lncRNA (ENSMPUG00000030024.1)". The record is from RNAcentral. Lineage: Eukaryota; Metazoa; Chordata; Mammalia; Carnivora; Mustelidae.
ACUUAAUUCAUUUAUUCCUUAAAACAUUAUUUGUUCCAUUUCACAGGUAAGGACACUGAGGCAGAGUUACUAAGGAGACAGAGAAAAGGAAUCCCUAGGGGUGGUGUCCCAGUGAAGAAAGGGUUCCGGAGAGGAUUCCUGAGUGAGUGUUGCCAGGCAACCAGGGGUGGGAGGAGGAGAGGUUAAGGGGAGGUUACUGGAAGAGGCAUUGAAAGUAGAAGAAGAAAACCUGCAUGCCAAUAAGUCUAUUGAGAGUCUCUUUAACUCAUCCAGGGGGUACAGAUGUAAGCCCAAACUAGGGCAGGUACUGUUAAAAAAAAAUAAAAGCGGGUGGUGGGGGGUGGGGACAAAGAAUUGUAAAAGAAAAAAAAAAAAAUCGGAAGGACUUGAUGGAGUGGAUGAGAUAGGACAAAGAGGAAUUCAAAUGCUUUACAGAGUUUCUGGAUGGGCUCCAUCCACUGAAGCCAGAAAUGCAGGAAGAGUGGCAGCACUGGGAGAGCACUGGGAGACAGAAUGAGUUCAUUUGGGGGAUGCUGUUGGCUUAUGCCCAUAGGACAUCCUAGAGAUAGAUGUUCAACAAGUAGCAGUCCCCGUGAGUGGAGAUUGGUAGACGUUCUGGAGCCUGGAGAUAAGAGCCACUCUGACAAGUAUGAUGCAAUAUCUCAUCAUGGUUUUGAUUUGCAUUUUCCUGAUGAUUCGGAGAGUACCGGCUUACCUGAGGUUGUUGGAGAAUCUCUCCACCAAUGCGACAAAGCUAUUCAGAGGAAAGUCUUUGACAUCGCUGACGCCUCCAGGAGAGUUUGUUGGUGCUCAUCGUCCCAGGCAUGUCUGCAGUUUGUCCUCACAUAAAGGAUGGAGAGAUCAAAUGAGAGUAUGCACAACAGAAAGAGUGUCAUCUUCGCAGAGUUCAAAUCCCAAGUCACACAAUGAAAAUUCUUUGUCUGAGUGGAAGUUAACUUUCCUCUCCAACAUGGCCAAUUUACCUGGUAUGCUCUGCUCGUCAUUGAAAUACUGUUAUACUUAAUAUCAGUUGUCCUGUCUUAAGCUUCUGUGGAGCGUUGGCCCACCACCACUGCCAUCCCAACUUUUUCCUGGGGAACUCCAGGACCACUGCCAGUGUGCUUCCAAAUGGUUGCUGCCUCUGCUUUUCUGGCUGUUAUAUGGUUUGAAUAUCCUUCUUGCUCUCAAACCUCUGUGCCCCAAUCUGUAAAAUGGAACACUAAUGCCAACCAUAGGGGUUAUUAUGGGGAUUAAAAGAAAAAACUGAACAUGUCCAACACUGAGUAAAUGAUCAACAUGCUAACUACCUUCCCUCUUCACUUCAAAGUGAUUCAGGCUUACAUCAAAGAAAACUUUCUCUCCAACCAUUUAGAAUAAGUGUUUCCAAAACCCAGACUCAAAA